CAGUCGCCACGGUAAUACGAAGGGUGCAAGCGUUACUCGGAAUUACUGGGCGUAAAGCGUGCGUAGGUGGUGGUUUAAGUCCGUUGUGAAAGCCCUGGGCUCAACCUGGGAAUUGCAGUGGAUACUGGAUCACUAGAGUGUGGUAGAGGAUAGUGGAAUUUCCGGUGUAGCAGUGAAAUGCGUAGAGAUCGGAAGGAACAUCUGUGGCGAAGGCGGCCAUCUGGGACAACACUGACGCUGAGGCACGAAAGCGUGGGGAGCAAACAGGAUUAGAUACCCCGGUAGUCCCUGUCUCUUAUAC
This 301-nucleotide ribosomal RNA is filed under the name uncultured bacterium. RNAcentral's name for it is "partial 16S ribosomal RNA". It matches the Rfam family "Bacterial small subunit ribosomal RNA", at positions 509 to 807 of the family's 1533-position model. The record is from RNAcentral.